UACGUAGGGUGCGAGCGUUAAUCGGAAUUACUGGGCGUAAAGCGUGCGCAGGCGGUUCGUCGUGUCCGAUGUGAAAGCCCCGGGCUCAACCUGGGAAUGGCAUUGGAAACUGGCGGACUCGAGUGUGGCAGAGGGGGGUGGAAUUCCGCGUGUAGCAGUGAAAUGCGUAGAGAUCGGGAGGAACAUCUGUGGCGAAGGCGGCCACCUGGACCAGCACUGACACUGAGGCACGAAAGCGUGGGGAGCAAACAGG
RNAcentral lists this ribosomal RNA (253 nucleotides) under uncultured bacterium. RNAcentral's name for it is "partial 16S ribosomal RNA". It matches the Rfam family "Bacterial small subunit ribosomal RNA", at positions 524 to 776 of the family's 1533-position model. The record is from RNAcentral.